GAUGAAGAACGCAGCGAAAUGCGAUAAUUAAUGUGAAUUGCAGAAUUCCGUGAAUCAUCGAGCCUUUGAACGCACAUUGCGCCUCAUGGCAUUCCGUGAGGCAUGCCCAUCUCAGCGUUAGAAAAUAUUCUCAAAUUUUAGUUUUGUGCUAAAAUUUGGAUCAUGUCAAAGAAGCUAUUACUAUUAUUGUGAUCGCUCUUUGGAAAUUGAUAGGUCUUUGAGUUGCUACUCAUAGAACGUGAUGAAUCUUUCUUCGUUCUAUUGUAAUUCACUCUGGUAGUCCUAAAACUUGUAUGCCUGUGGCAUAUCUUGUAAUUUGACCUGAGAUUGGGUAGUGAUACCCGCUGAACUUAAGCAUAUCAAUAAGCGGAGGA
RNAcentral lists this unclassified non-coding RNA (374 nucleotides) under soil metagenome. RNAcentral's name for it is "partial internal transcribed spacer 1". The stretch from base 1 to 120 matches the Rfam family "5.8S ribosomal RNA", at positions 35 to 154 of the family's 154-position model. The record is from RNAcentral.